UGGGCAACCUGCCCCUCUCUCUGGGAUAACCCCGGGAAACCGGAGCUAAUACCGGAUACUCCGGCUGGAUCGCAUGGUCCGGCUGGGAAAGGUCCGCCGGAGAGGGAUGGGCCCGCGGCCUAUCAGCUUGUUGGUGGGGUGACGGCCCACCAAGGCGACGACGGGUAGCCGGCCUGAGAGGACGACCAGCCACACUGGUACUGAGAUACGGUCCAGACUCCUACGGGAGGCA
Molecule: ribosomal RNA, 232 nt
Filed under: uncultured bacterium
Lineage: Bacteria
Description: partial 16S ribosomal RNA
Rfam family: Bacterial small subunit ribosomal RNA
Source: RNAcentral